RNAcentral lists this ribosomal RNA (406 nucleotides) under uncultured bacterium. Its description in RNAcentral is "partial 16S ribosomal RNA". It matches the Rfam family "Bacterial small subunit ribosomal RNA", at positions 29 to 526 of the family's 1533-position model. The record is from RNAcentral.
AUUGAACGCUGGCGGCAGGCCUAACACAUGCAAGUCGAGCGAGCGGCGGACGGGUGAGUAAUGUCUGGGAACCUGCCUGAUGGAGGGGGAUAACUCCUGGAAACGGUAGCUAAUACCGCAUACCAUCAGAUGUGCCCAGAUGGGAUUAGAUAGUAGGUGGGGUACCGGCUCACCUAGGCGACGAGCCCUAGCUGGUCUGAGAGGAUGACCAGCAACACUGGAACGGAGACACGGUCCAGACUCCUACGGGAGGCAGCAGUGGGGAAUAUUGCACAAUGGGCGCAAGCCUGAUUCAGCCAUGCCGCGGGUGUGAAGAAGGCCUUCGGGUUGUAAAGCACGUUCAGCGGGGAGGCGUUACCCGCAGAAGAAGCAACGGCUAACUCCGUGCCAGCAGCCGCGGUAAUAC